RNAcentral lists this ribosomal RNA (1429 nucleotides) under uncultured organism. RNAcentral describes it as "bacterial SSU rRNA". It matches the Rfam family "Bacterial small subunit ribosomal RNA". The record is from RNAcentral.
UCAGGACGAACGCUGGCGGCGUGCCUAAUACAUGCAGUCGAGCGGUCCUACUUCGGUAGGAUAGCGGCGGACGGGUGAGUAACACGUGGGCAACCUGCCCCCAAGACGGGAAUAACACCGGGAAACCGGUGCUAAUACCGGAUAAUCUUUUUCUUCGCAUGAAGAGAAAGUAAAAGGCUUCGGUCACUUGGGGAUGGGCCCGCGGCGCAUUAGCUAGUUGGUAAGGUAACGGCUUACCAAGGCGACGAUGCGUAGCCGACCUGAGAGGGUGACCGGCCACACUGGGACUGAGACACGGCCCAGACUCCUACGGGAGGCAGCAGUAGGGAAUUUUCCGCAAUGGGCGCAAGCCUGACGGAGCAACGCCGCGUGAGUGAGGACGGUCUUCGGAUUGUAAAGCUCUGUUCUGUGGGAAGAAAAAAAUGACGGUACCAUAGGAGAAAGCCCCGGCUAACUACGUGCCAGCAGCCGCGGUAAUACGUAGGGGGCGAGCGUUGUCCGGAAUUAUUGGGCGUAAAGCGCGCGCAGGCGGCUGAUUAAGUCAGAUGUGAAAGGCUACGGCUCAACCGUAGAGUUGCAUUUGAAACUGGUUAGCUUGAGUGCAGGAGAGGUGAGUGGAAUUCCCGGUGUAGCGGUGGAAUGCGUAGAGAUCGGGAGGAACACCAGUGGCGAAGGCGGCUCACUGGCCUGCAACUGACGCUGAGGCGCGAAAGCGUGGGGAGCGAACAGGAUUAGAUACCCUGGUAGUCCACGCCGUAAACGAUGAGUGCUAGGUGUUGGGGGGUACCACCCUCAGUGCCGAAGGAAACCCAAUAAGCACUCCGCCUGGGGAGUACGACCGCAAGGUUGAAACUCAAAGGAAUUGACGGGGGCCCGCACAAGCGGUGGAGCAUGUGGUUUAAUUCGAAGCAACGCGAAGAACCUUACCAGGGCUUGACAUCCCACUGAUCGGUGUAGAGAUAUACCUUUCCUUCGGGACAGUGGAGACAGGUGGUGCAUGGUUGUCGUCAGCUCGUGUCGUGAGAUGUUGGGUUAAGUCCCGCAACGAGCGCAACCCUUAUCCUUAGUUGCCAGCAGGUAAAGCUGGGCACUCUAAAGAGACAGCCGGUGAAAGCCGGAGGAAGGUGGGGAUGACGUCAAAUCAUCAUGCCCCUUAUGUCCUGGGCUACACACGUGCUACAAUGGUUGGUACAAAGGGAAGCGAAGCCGCGAGGUGAAGCAAAUCUCAUAAAACCAAUCUCAGUUCGGAUCGUAGGCUGCAACUCGCCUGCGUGAAGUCGGAAUCGCUAGUAAUCGCGGAUCAGCAUGCCGCGGUGAUACGUUCUCGGGCCUUGUACACACCGCCCGUCACACCACGGGAGUUUGCAACACCCGAAGUCGGUGAGGUACCUUUUAGGAGCCAGCCGCCGAAGGUGGGGCAGAUGACUGG